AGGUACUGAUGAUGGGAUGGCUAGCACAAAAGAAUGGAAAUGUAUGUCUCAGCUCUUAGAGCAAGGUUAAUCAGCCGCUAUGCCUAUGCUUCAGCUUCCUUGCCUGUAAAACUGGCAAGCUACAUUCACCAGAGGAUCUGAGGAGAGAGAAGCUGUGGACCAAACGAGAAAAUGCGGACCUAUUGAUUGCAGCUUGCUGGAGGAAGCUCUCACUGUCUAAUUACUGCCCCAGCUCAGCCUGUCACCGUGUCCUCUGCAGUCAGCGCAUCCUGACACUGACCCCUGAUACCACAGCUCUUGGCAUAUCAGCCUGUUCUGGCACUCUGCGCCCGACCCGGAGGAGGGCUGCAAGCCUGGAGCCCCUGGGGAGAGAGCACAGAUGAGCUGAGUCACACCGCAAUACUCAACACAGUCCUUGACCUUGGUCGGUGCACUGAGGGUCAUUUCCUCAGUCUCAUCCAGUCUUUACAAAACUGGCCACUGGUGCCCUAAAUUGAAACCAGAAUCCUGAUCUAUAGAGCCA
Long non-coding RNA from Bos taurus (domestic cattle), 523 nucleotides. Lineage: Eukaryota; Metazoa; Chordata; Mammalia; Artiodactyla; Bovidae. The record is from Ensembl.